RNAcentral lists this ribosomal RNA (261 nucleotides) under Burkholderia ubonensis. RNAcentral's name for it is "partial 16S ribosomal RNA". It matches the Rfam family "Bacterial small subunit ribosomal RNA", at positions 1 to 262 of the family's 1533-position model. Lineage: Bacteria; Pseudomonadati; Pseudomonadota; Betaproteobacteria; Burkholderiales; Burkholderiaceae. The record is from RNAcentral.
UUGAACUGAAGAGUUUGAUCCUGGCUCAGAUUGAACGCUGGCGGCAUGCCUUACACAUGCAAGUCGAACGGCAGCACGGGCUUCGGCCUGGUGGCGAGUGGCGAACGGGUGAGUAAUACAUCGGAACAUGUCCUGUAGUGGGGGAUAGCCCGGCGAAAGCCGGAUUAAUACCGCAUACGAUCUACGGAUGAAAGCGGGGGACCUUCGGGCCUCGCGCUAUAGGGUUGGCCGAUGGCUGAUUAGCUAGUUGGUGGGGUAAAG